AGAGUUUGAUCCUGGCUCAGGAUGAACGCUGGCGGCGUGCUUAACACAUGCAAGUCACGGGGGCCAGCAAUGGCAACCGGCGAACGGGUGCGUAACACGUGAGCAACCUACCGAAAUGAGGGGGAUAGCCGUCCCAACGGACGGGUAAUACCGCAUACGCUAGAGACCAGGCAUUUGGACUCUAGGAAACCUCCGGGGCAUUUCGAGGGGCUCGCGGCCUAUCAGCUAGUUGGUGAGGUAACGGCUCACCAAGGCGACGACGGGUAGCUGGUCUGAGAGGAUGGCCAGCCACAUUGGGACUGAGAUACGGCCCAGACUCCUACGGGAGGCAGCAGUGGGGAAUCUUGCGCAAUGGCCUAACGGCUGACGCAGCGACGCCGCGUGAGGGAUGACGCUCUUCGGAGUGUAAACCUCUUUUGCCUGAGACGAAUUGUCAGCUUUAGCUGAUUUGACUGUAUCGGGUGAAUAAGCACCGGCUAACUCCGUGCCAGCAGCCGCGGUAAUACGGGGGGUGCGAGCGUUGUCCGGAAUCACUGGGCGUAAAGGGCGCGUAGGUGGCCUGAUAAGGGUGUGGUGAAAGUCCGGGGCUCAACCCCGGAUCUGCCGUGCCGACUGUUAGGCUAGAGUACUGUAGGGGCAGGCGGAAUUCCGGGUGUAGCGGUGGAAUGCGUAGAGAUCCGGANGAAGACCGGUGGCGAAGGCGGCCUGCUGGGC
Molecule: ribosomal RNA, 714 nt
Filed under: uncultured bacterium
Lineage: Bacteria
Description: bacterial SSU rRNA
Rfam family: Bacterial small subunit ribosomal RNA
Source: RNAcentral